CGGAAGCGUGGCAGAGCGGCCGAAUGCACUCGCCUUGAAAGCGAGCGUGGCGUUAAACCCACCGGGGGUUCAAAUCCCUCCGCUUCCGCCAA
RNAcentral lists this transfer RNA (92 nucleotides) under Rhodococcus erythropolis SK121. RNAcentral's name for it is "tRNA-Ser". It matches the Rfam family "tRNA". Rfam says of the family: Transfer RNA (tRNA) molecules are approximately 80 nucleotides in length. Their secondary structure includes four short double-helical elements and three loops (D, anti-codon, and T loops). Further hydrogen bonds mediate the characteristic L-shaped molecular structure. tRNAs have two regions of fundamental functional importance: the anti-codon, which is responsible for specific mRNA codon recognition, and the 3' end, to which the tRNAs corresponding amino acid is attached (by aminoacyl-tRNA synthetases). tRNAs cope with the degeneracy of the genetic code in two manners: having more than one tRNA (with a specific anti-codon) for a particular amino acid; and 'wobble' base-pairing, i.e. permitting non-standard base-pairing at the 3rd anti-codon position. Lineage: Bacteria; Bacillati; Actinomycetota; Actinomycetes; Mycobacteriales; Nocardiaceae. The record is from RNAcentral.